RNAcentral lists this ribosomal RNA (876 nucleotides) under Salmonella enterica subsp. enterica serovar Kentucky. RNAcentral's name for it is "partial 23S ribosomal RNA". It matches the Rfam family "Bacterial large subunit ribosomal RNA", at positions 670 to 1546 of the family's 2925-position model. The record is from RNAcentral. Lineage: Bacteria; Pseudomonadati; Pseudomonadota; Gammaproteobacteria; Enterobacterales; Enterobacteriaceae.
AGGGAAACCGAGUCUUAACUGGGCGUUAAGUUGCAGGGUAUAGACCCGAAACCCGGUGAUCUAGCCAUGGGCAGGUUGAAGGUUGGGUAACACUAACUGGAGGACCGAACCGACUAAUGUUGAAAAAUUAGCGGAUGACUUGUGGCUGGGGGUGAAAGGCCAAUCAAACCGGGAGAUAGCUGGUUCUCCCCGAAAGCUAUUUAGGUAGCGCCUCGUGAACUCAUCUUCGGGGGUAGAGCACUGUUUCGGCUAGGGGGUCAUCCCGACUUACCAACCCGAUGCAAACUGCGAAUACCGAAGAAUGUUAUCACGGGAGACACACGGCGGGUGCUAACGUCCGUCGUGAAGAGGGAAACAACCCAGACCGCCAGCUAAGGUCCCAAAGUCACAGUUAAGUGGGAAACGAUGUGGGAAGGCUCAGACAGCCAGGAUGUUGGCUUAGAAGCAGCCAUCAUUUAAAGAAAGCGUAAUAGCUCACUGGUCGAGUCGGCCUGCGCGGAAGAUGUAACGGGGCUAAACUGUGCACCGAAGCUGCGGCAGCGACGCUUAUGCGUUGUUGGGUAGGGGAGCGUUCUGUAAGCCUGCGAAGGUGUCCUGUGAGGGAUGCUGGAGGUAUCAGAAGUGCGAAUGCUGACAUAAGUAACGAUAAAGCGGGUGAAAAGCCCGCUCGCCGGAAGACCAAGGGUUCCUGUCCAACGUUAAUCGGGGCAGGGUGAGUCGACCCCUAAGGCGAGGCCGAAAGGCGUAGUCGAUGGGAAACGGGUUAAUAUUCCCGUACUUGGUGUUACUGCGAAGGGGGGACGGAGAAGGCUAUGUUGGCCGGGCGACGGUUGUCCCGGUUUAAGCGUGUAGGCUGGUUUUCCAGGCAAAUCCGGA